RNAcentral lists this long non-coding RNA (10103 nucleotides) under Homo sapiens (human). Its description in RNAcentral is "HSALNT0340418". The record is from RNAcentral. Lineage: Eukaryota; Metazoa; Chordata; Mammalia; Primates; Hominidae.
CAUUCUUUUCUUUGCUGUCUUCCAUCUUUCUCGCUCGAAUUUCUCUCAUUAAAUCAAAAAAUACCUAGAAAGAAAAAAAAUAGGAUAAAUAAAGCAAACAGAUACAUGAACUUGGUACUUCUCCAAAUCACAGCAGUAAACUUUGGGGGUAACAGAAGUAUAAAUAUUUAAGAGCUCUUGUUUGGGAGUACAGAGCGGAAAGCAUAAAACUAAAGCCUGAUUUUCCUAGUAUCUUGAAAAAAGGAGGAAACUAGGAAGUUUUCUGAAUUACACUUUAUGGUAAAAAUGUUCAUAUGUAAUAAAACCUGAUCUUUCUGUUCCAGUUUUCGAGACAAAAGUCUAAAAAGUUCUAUAAGGUGAUGACAGACCCAAAGAUAGAACUCAAUGGAUUAUAUUUAAGUAGUUUAUAAUCAAUAAAUGUAUUUUAUUAAUUUAUAUUUAAUAAUAUAUGCUUAAAUUUAUAUUUAAUAAUUUGAUUAUAUUUCAUAACUUGGUUUCCUCAGUUCCAUUUUUAGAAAUGAAGCUGAGGAAGAUGGGUGUAUGCUUUAUCAUCUUGAUACCAGACACUAUGAAACAACUUUGUCUGUUACUCUGUAUUUGAGAAUUUAUCAGUUUUUGUCUGAUGUCUAGGAACCGGUAAAUAAUGAGAUAUUAGCAUAGUAACUAAGAAAAUUACGAGUAUAACAAUUCAAAGUUAAAUUUCAAUAAGAAAUUCCUCUGUUCUGUAACACAGAAGGGUCUGGAAGGCUACACACUCACACUCCUACUCCACAUAAACGGCUGAGAGUAUAUGAUAAAAGGAGGAAUAACUUUUAUGAUCACUUUUGAAUUCUGGAUUUAAAAAAUGUUUUUACUUAUAGAAUUAAAAAACUCAGACUAAAGCAAGAAAUAUGAAAGCGACAAUGAGUGCUGUGAGUAAAGAAGCCUGUGUAUGUCAUGACUGAUGUGGCCUUUCCUAACGCGUCUGAAAAAAGCAAGGCACAGAAUAGCAGAUGGAGCGCUACCUGUGUGUGUGUGUAGGGCAGGAGUAUACAUGGAUUUGUUCGCCCUUGCACAAAGAACAAUGAAAUAAUAAACCAAACCCUAAUAAUCAAUUUCAUUUUGAAGAAGGGAGGAGGGUACAAGGAAGAGUGAGGCAUCUCUGAGUGUAUCUUGUUAUAGAAUUUCUACUUUAGAGACAUAGGUGUUUUACGUAUUCAAAAAUAAAAUUAGGCCAGGCAUGGUGACUCACACCUGUAAUCUCAGCACUCUGGGAGGCCGAGGCGGGCAGAUCACCUGAGGUCAGGAGUUCUAGACUACCCUGGCCAACAUGGUGAAACCUCGUCUCUACAAAAAAUACAAAAAUUAGCUGGGUGUGGUGGCGGGCACUUGUAAUCCCAGCUACUGGGAAGGCUGAGGCACAAGAAUUGCUUGAACCCAGGAGGUGGAGGUUGCACUGAGCCGAGAUUGUGCCACUGCACUCCAGCCUGGGCGACAGAGCAAGACUCAGUCUCAAAAAAAUAAAAAUAAAAAAUAAAACAAAAUAGCAAAUCCUAAAAAUUGAAAAUCAAAUUAAAAUAAAUUAAGACUGGCCAGGCGUGGUGGUUCAUGCCUGUAGUCCCAGUACUUUGGGAGGCUGAGGUGGGCGGAUCACCUGAGGUCAGGAGUUCAAGACCAGCCUGGCCAACAUAGAGAAAUCCCAUCUCUACUAAAAAUACAAAAAUUAGCCAGGUGUGGUGGCGUAUGCCUGUAAUCCCAGCUACUCGAGAGGCUGAGGCAGAUCACUUGAAUUCAGGAGGCGGAGGUUGCGGUGAGCUGAGAUCGUGCCACUGAACUCCAGCCUGGGCAACAGAGUGAGACUCCAUUUCAAAAAACAAACAAACAAGACACAAACAAGUAAGACUGACUAGAGGAAUUAUUUCAAAGGUCUAUAAGACAGCAUAGAAAGUAUCUAUUUUAGAAUAGAUGCUAAGGAUAAAAAUAGAAACAAAAUUCCAACAAAACAAAACAAAGACAAAUCUUAAACUUCUUUUUUUUUUUUUUUUUUUGAGAGAGUCUCUGUUGCCCAGGCUGGAGUGGGAUGGCGUGAUCUCAGCUCACUGCAACCUCUGCCUCCCGGGUUCAAGAGAUUCUCCUGCCUCAGCCUUCCAAGUAGCUGGGAUUACAGACAGGCACCACCAUGUCUGGCUAAUUUUUGUAUUUUUAGUAGAGACGGGGUUUUGCCAUGUUGGCCAGGCUGGUCUCGAACUCCUGACCUCAGGUGAUCUACCUGUCUCAGCCUCUAAAUGUGCUGGAAUUACAGAUGUGAGCCACAACACCCAGCCAAACUUCAUUUUGUAGUUUGUUUGUGACAGCAAUGUUGCUCUUUUGGAACUAUUUUAUUAAUGCAAGGGAGGAAUUAUGUUAAUGUAAUUUAGGAACCAAGAUCUUCAGUGUAAGAGAAAAGAUACAAGUACAAAAUCAAAGAUGUAAACAUUUGUAAUGUUAAAUUUGAAUUGGAAAUAACAACAUGAUCACAUUUUUUUCUUUUAAUAAUACCUAUUUCCUAGAACUAUUCACUGAAAAAUGACAACACAAUAGCAACAAGCAAAUUAUGUAACUAUGCUGUGGCUGCUAAAUAUCAUUCCUCCUAAACAGAACCUGAGUUCCUUAGAUGAAUGGCUGAUUCCUGAUCUGCAGCAAGAAGCAUAAAAUUUAAGUCAGAAAGCAACGAAACUAUCAAAGAUGAAUGGGCUGAGUCAAACGGACAUAGGACCAACAUGAAGGAGCAUAAACGGUUAAAGGGAAAAAAGUAUAAAACACACACCCACACACAAAGUAUGCAACAGAACGGAACACAAUGAUGACAUAAAAGCCAUGGGUUUUUGCCCCUAGUGGUUGUGAUUCUAUUUCCCCAGAGACUAGGAAUUUCAGAAGACCUCUGUUUCAAGUCUCUGGCUAACUAGCUAGGACAGGAGGUCUCGAUUCUGACUAAAUGUAAUUAUUGGAAUACUCCCAGUAUUGCUUUCUAAUGCAGAUAAAUCACUAUGAAAAGGAAACUAGAUGAAGGUUUAAUUUCUGAUUUUAUUUUCAAUUGAAUUUUGUCUGUUUAAUUGACACAUAUUCACAGAGUACACAGUGAUGUUUUGAAACAUAUAACGUACAGUGACUAAGACCAGGGUAAUUAGCACAUCCAUCAUCUCAAUCAUUUAUUAUUUGUGUUGGGAACAUUCAAUAUCCUCCUUUCAGGUAUUUGAAACUAUACAUUAUUGUUAAGUAUAGUCAUCUACAAUAGUAUAGUACACCAGAGCUCAUUCCUCAUAUCUAGCUGUAAUUCUGUAUAAUUUAACAAAUCUCUACCUAUCCCUCCCAUUCCAGCCUCUAGUAUUCUCUGUUCUAUUUUUUACUUCUAUGAGAUCAACUUUUUCUAAGCUUUUACAUAUGAAUGAGAACAUGCAGUGUUUAACUGCCUGUUCCUGGCUUAUUUCACUUAAUUGUCUCCAGUUCUAUCCAUAUUGCCAUGAAUGACAGGAUUUCAUCCUUUUCAAUGAUUGAAUAGUACUCUAUAGUGUAUAUCUAUCACAUUUUCUUUAUCCAUUCAUCUGUUGUUGGCACUUGGGUUGGUUCUGUAUCUUGGCUAUUGUGAACACUGCUGUAACAAAUAAAUGUCAUUAAUAGGAAAAUGGCUGAAUUAUGGAAAAGUCUAACCAUGGAAUACUUUGUGGUUUUAAAAAGAAUGUGGAUACAUCUAUAUGCAGUGACAUGGAAGAGCUGUAGGAUUUGUCAUAAAAUUUAAAAAGCGCACCACAGAAAUAUGCUCUAUAUAUACAGAUACAAAAUAUAUUACGUGUGUGUAUAUAUAUACACAAAUCCUAUUAAUACAGGAAGAAAAAACAAGCAAAUGCAAACUUUCCCUUAGAGAUAUGUAUGACUGCUUUUAACGUCUGGAAAGACACACCCGUGUUAGCACUGGUUACUGAAAGGGAGGGGAAAGGAGUGAACUAUGGGAGAAAAAUGACUCAUUUUUCCUCCUUAUGUUUCUAUAUUAUGAAUUUUUCUUUAUAUAAGCAUGUAUCCAUGUAUUACUUAUACAAUGAAAAAACCCAAAUAUGAUAUUUUCCAAAAAAUACAGUGUAUUUCUACCAAAAUUCUUCCCUCGACAUAAAACUGAUUCUCUUGACAUAAUAAAUCACACUGCCCCUUUGGACAUCUGUUAAUAUUUGCUCAACUUCUCUCUAUUCUGCCAAAAUGUUCCUUAAAAUCAAGAGCAACCUUGGAGUCGUGAAUUAAGACCCAGAGCAUUUAGCUAGAAGGAUAAUAACAAGGUCACUGAAUGAAUCCAAUGAGUACACAAGUAGGAUUGCCCAGAUGUUCCUUUAGCCUCGGAGUGAUUCCUCUGUGACAAGCAUGGCUUCCUGAGACAUGCCAUGCCCCAGCUCUGGUGGCUAUGACACUUUUUCAUGACUAGAUUUAAAAUCUGCAUCUUUGAAACUUCCACCUAAUGGUCUAUUUGGACUCCAGAUGAGGAUAACGCAUGAGCCAAUGAUCUUAUGGAGAGCUAGCAUUUGUUCUGUGACAAAGCAUGACACUUCACAAUUUAAUAAAAGGAAAUAACACUUGCUAUUCCUGAAAAUUUGUGAUCAGGCUUCUAGUAGUGGAUGACAUAAGAAAUGGGAGAUACACUAGCUAUUCCAACCAUUGUUUUGUUUUGUUUUUGAGAUAGGGUCUCACUCCCAUUACCCAGGCUGGAGGGUAGUGGUUAUGAUCUCGGCUCACUGCAGCCUCCACCUCCCAGGCUCAAGCAAUCCUCCUGUCUCAGCCUCCCAAGUAACUGUGACUACAGACAUUCGCCACCACACCUGGCUAGUUUUUGUAUUUUUUGUAGAGAUAGGCUUUUGCCAUGUUGCCCGGGCUGGUCUCAAACUCCUGGGCUCAAGUAAUCUGCCUGCCUCGGCCUACCAGAGUGCAGGGAUUAUAGGUGUGGUGGCACCUGGCCCCAACCAUUGUUUUGAGUAAAAUAUUGAAGAAAGAAUGUGAGCAUGUGAGCGCCAGAGUUGGCCAGACCCAGAAGCUGCAGAUGCCACCACGAACCCCGUGACCUUGAGCCAGUUACGUAAUCUCCCCACACCGCAGCUUCCUUGUCUAAAAAGUGAGCAUCAGAAGAGUAUCUACGCCUCACACAAUUAAGGAUUAAAUGGUUGGUACUUACCACAGUGCCUGGCUCUUAUAAACACAAAUAAAUAUUAGCUUUUCUGAUUAUUAGAUUAUUUCCUCAGGAAAACAACCACAAACACAAGUAUAACCUAAUUCUGGAAAUUGAAUAGUUGCUGCAAAUGACUUUUAUGUAGCCACUGAGGUACUUUAUCUGGUAAUCACUCCGCAGGAUGUAGCAGUACAUGAAAUUAUAGUCUUCAGUAUGGAUUUGCACCUCACUUUACAAGCAGCCUCGUUUAAUGUAAUUCUGUUUUGGACAGGUGACCACCGACUGCAGACUGUAUUAACUGAAACUGGCCACAGCAAUGUUUCCUAUGUGCUUUUCCAGAAUCCUGCCACUUUUCAUCAAGAGCUGAAGUCUAUUCCCCUUCCUUCUCAACCUAGGUGAGACUUUGUGACUAUCUCCAACCUGUAGAAUGAGGUAGAAAUAAUGCUGCAUAACUUCAGAGACUAUGUCAUAAAAGGCCGUAUGGUUUCUGCCUGGUUCUUUUUCUCUUGUGACACUUGCCCUUGGAGACUCUGCCCACUGUGCUGUGAGGAAGCCUAAACUAGCACACAUGGAAAAGGCCACAUGGAGGAGCCCACCUGGAGAGGAACUGAGGCAUCCUUGGAUAAUGGCCAGCAUCAUCUGGCUGAGCCAGACAUGUGCGAACAAGCCUUCAGAACCUAAGUUUAGGUAUUUCCAGUGCCUAGACUUGAAGCUUUCAGCUGAGGCAGCAGACACUGUAGAGCAGAGCCAAGCCAUUUCCACUGUGCCCUGUUCAAAUUCUUGGCCACAGAAUGUAUAAGCAGAAUAAAUGACUGUUUUACCCAUAAAGGUUCUGGGGUGUACUUUGUUAUACAGCCAUAGUAACUAAAACGGCCUUAUACCUUUAUUUUAUUUUUUAUUUUUUGAAAAAGUAACAUAGUCGUACCUCAGUAUCUAUGGGGGAUUGGUUCCAGAAUGCCCGUGGAUCCCAAAAUCUCUACCUACUCAAGUCCCGCAGCUGGCCCUGCAGAACACAUGGAUGCAAAAAGCCAGCCCUCCGCAUAUGCAGGUUUCACAUCCUGCUGUAUUCUCUGUCUGCAUUUGGUUGUGGAUGCAGAGCCCACCGACAUGGAGGCAGACUGCAUCUGUGAAAAAAAAAUCUGCACAGCUCAAAUCUGUGUUGUUUGAGGGCCAAGUGUCCAUGAAUAUGGCAAAAAGUUCACAAGGGUAUUUACAGUGAAAAAAGCAUAAACUGUGGCUUAAUUCUCUGGAGGCAACCACAGGUACCAGAGUCUUACAUAUCCUUAUGAUGUGUACAUAGAUAAUGUGUAUGUAUGUGUGUUUAAAACACAUGGCAGCAAGCUACAGACACCACUCUGUACUUUGUUUCACUUACUUUAUAAUUGAAGAUCAUCUGAUAUCAGCACAUUUAGUUCUAUCCUCAUUUCUUUUUAAUGGUUGGGCAAAACUCCAUUAUUUAAACCAGUCCAUUACUGAACACUUGGAUAUUUCCAGUCUUUUGCUUCUAAAAAUAAUGCUUCACUGACUACCACUGAACAUACACGUAUACGUGAGUGCAUAAUUUGUUCUGUAUAAUAACAUUUUUAGGCCGGGCGUGGUGGCUCACGCCUGUAAUCCCAGCACUUUGGGAGGCCGAGGCGGGUGGAUCAUGAGGUCAGGAGAUCAAGACCAUCCUGGCUAACAAGGUGAAACCCCGUCUCUACUAAAAAUACAAAAAAUUAGCCGGGCGCGGUGGCGGGCGCCUGUAGUCCCAGCUACUCGGGAGGCUGAGGCAGGAGAAUGGCGUGAACCCGGGAAGCAGAGCUUGCAGUGAGCCGAGAUUGCGCCACUGCAGUCCGCAGUCCGGCCUGGGCGACAGAGCGAGACUCCGUCUCAAAAAAAAAAAAAAAAAAAAAAAAAAAAAAUAACAUUUUUAGCACUUAAAUUGCUGGGUCAUAAUUCUGAUGGGUAUCACAAAACUGCCCUUCCACCAACAUAUGAGAGGUUCCUGUUUUUCUAUACUCUUGCUAACAGUAUAUUCUAUUCUCAACCUCUUUGCUUUUUUUCUCCCAAAGUGACGGGUAAAAAAAGGACAUUCCACUAUAUUUUAAAGUUGUACUUCCCUUUUUAUAAGUGAGACCGAGCCUCUCUUCCAGUUUAAAGGCCAUUUGUGUUUCCUUUCUACGACAUGCCAGUUGCUGUUUUUGGGCCAUUUUCCCUAGGCUUUUGUCCUGUAAGAGCUGUGCUAAUACAGACACCAUACUUCCCAGGGCCUCUGAUGCCAACAGAUGAUCACCACAAGGACUGUUACAAUAUAGCUUUCUAUCUUGGAUUGCCAGUGUCUGCAUCUCUUCCCCACUCCCCUUAGGUUCAAAUAGUUUUUAUAGUGUGUUCUACAACCUACUCGAAACAUCGAUUAGAAAAGUAUAUAUAUGCUAUGAGAAUGUUCAACGUUGCCUUUUAAAACCUCAAACACCCUCAAUCUUAACAUAUAUUUUCAUUAGUAUUUUAAAAAUAUUUGCCAUACAAAUUGUCUCUUCAAAUCUAUAAUUUUCUAAUGACUUAGAAAUGGCAGGCACAGGCUGGGCAUUUUACAUAUGUGAUUUCAUUUCAUCUUUACAAUAAUCCUAUGAAGCAGGUAUUCUUGUUCCCAUUUCCAAAUGGAAGCUAACUGAAAUACCCAAGCCCUAGUUACUGUGUUCAGAAACCAUGGUUCCCAGGAAACUAUGAUAGGGCAUGCUAUGGACUGAAUGCUUGUGUCACCCCAAAAUUCAUAUACUGAAACCCGAAUUCCUUAUGUGAUGGCAAUAAGAGAUGGGGCCUUUGGGUCGUAAUUACGUCACUAGGGUAGGGUUGUCAUAAUGGAAUUAGUAUCCUAAGAAGAAUCAGGAGAGCUAUCUCUCUCUCUCUGUCAUGUGAGGAUGCAGCAGGAAGGUAUAAGGAAAUCCAGCAAAUCAGGAAGAAAGCCCUCUCCAGAAUCAUUUUGUCUAAGACCUUGAUCUUGGACUCGCCAGCCUCCAGAACUGUGAGAAAUAACUUUGUUAUUUAAGCAAAACACACAUACACACACAUACACACACACACACACACACACACACUUGCCCUAGUCCUAACCUUAGAAAAAAUUCGUAUCCUGAAUAGAAUCCUGUAGUACUCACUUUGUACAGAUAUCUUAGACCUAAAGGAAUCUGACAAUGUCUUAAAAAGUUAAGAAGCUUAAGACAGCAACGACACUGUCUUAAGACCUACAGCAAAAUAACAGAACAAAUCUCAAACUUUUUUUUUAACCUAGUACUUUCUGGAUCAGGGUUAUAAAUCUACAAGCACAUGCAGCACUUGCUAGAAUCAUAAAUUCUUAGGCCCCAUUCCAGACCAAAUGAAUCCAAAUCUCUAGGGGUAAGACCCAAGAAUGUGUGUUUAUCAAGAUUUACAGGCAGUUCUUUUGCCUAUUGGAGCUUGAGAGGCACACUAUAGAGCCUAGAUACUUGCAGGCUGAAGAAAGACCCCACUUGGAGGCCUUUAAGAUUCUGUGCUACCUCAGCCCAGUGAGCAGUCUUUCUAGAUACUGGAGCUGGUCUAGGGCAGUGGGAUGAAAUGUACUUGCAGGUGUUCCACAUCUGGUCUUCAGGAAGGGCCACUCUGAACAAAGCGAGAAGACAAGAAAGGAGGGCAGAGUGUUUACUUUCCUUUCUUUCUCUUUCAGGAGAAAACAAAGGUUGAGGGUGGGGAGUGGAGAGUGGCAGGAGAGAUUUUAAAACGCUCUUAUCUGGGGGCUUCUUCAUCUUGGGAGGUACCCUUAUUUUUAAGAACUUAAGUGGGGUUGGGUAGAUGUCAGGUCAGAGGUAAGAACGGUUUAGUGCUGGAAUCUUGGGACUCACACGAUUCCUUCUAAAUUAUCCAAAGACUCAAUAGGAUAAGGGGGGAAAAAAGUCAGGAAUGCCAUCAGUGCUUUAAAAAGAAAAAAAGUACAUUUAGCUGUAGUGUCUCAUGUUUUAAUGUCUCUUGGGAAGCUAAGGACAAGGUGAACUAAAAUUCCUAACAUGUAUCUGAGUAUUCAGGGAUGAUAAAAAUCAACAAGGAUUAAACCUCUAUUUGAAAGUUUCAUAGACUCUCCAGACAAAAUGGAGCCAAGUUAAAGCAAACCAACCUAUUUUAACAUGAUGCAGUAGUAAAGAGUCACGUGUUACCUUGUCAACAUUAGCUCGUGUUUUAGCAGAUGUUUCCACGUAGUUAACAUUCCACUGCUCAGCUCUGUUUUUUGCCUCUUCUACAGAAACCUGUCUUUUAUCUUCUAAAUCUGAUUUGUUACCAACCAGUAGAAAUGGAACAUUCUCAUCUUCUUUUACUCUUAAAAUCUGCUCCCUGGAUAAGAGAAAAUGAAAAAGAAAUAUUAACAUUAUAAGGAUAGCACAGAAAGUUCUUGUUUGCCCCAUACCUAUUUUUCCCUAUUGUUAACAUCUACUACUGUGGUACACAAAUCACAAUUAAUGAACCAAUAUCGAUACAGUAUUAGCAACUAAGGUCCAAACUUUAUUCAAAUGUGCUUGCUUUUUGCCUGACAUCCUUUUUCUGUUCCAGGAUCCCAUCCAGGUUGCCACAUGACAUUUAGUUUCGUCAUGUCUCUUUAGCCUUGAGUUGGCCAUGGUAAUUCUCAGACUUUCCUUGUUUUUGAUGACCUUAAUAGUUUUGAGGACUGCUGGCUGGCAGUUUGUACAAUGUCUCUCAAUUGGGAUUUGUCAGAUGUUUUCCUCAUGAUUAAAGUAGGGUUAUUGGUUCUUGGGAGGAAGAUUUAGAAAGUGCUAUUCUUAUUGCAUCAUAUCAAGGGUCCCACCAAUUGUUUUUCAAAACCCAAAUGUGCCAGAAAUUACUGGAAGUCAGACCUUGAGCAUAGAUUUUGCAUUGAGAGGUAAGUUAUCCACUGUGAAAGUGUCAUCAAUUUUAAAGUACCAUGGUUCUGCUCUUC